This is a long non-coding RNA of Mytilus californianus (California mussel), 275 nucleotides long. RefSeq lists it as uncharacterized. The transcript has 4 exons. Lineage: Eukaryota; Metazoa; Mollusca; Bivalvia; Mytilida; Mytilidae. The record is from RefSeq and is a predicted model, not a curated record.
AAAGGUUUUGCCACAUAAGGUGCAAGUUAUUUCAAAAUUGGGUUGUGUAAAUACGUCUUUUUUAUUAAUCGACAUUGAAUUUAACAAAAUAAUCUGUCAUAAGCAUAGUUUUGAAAGAUGAAAAAGUCUAAGAUAGGAGAUGGACAGAGAUUAGCUUAAUAAGAUAGAAGAUGGCAAGUUGGCAGCUAAAUCGGGCUCUCCAAGACGCAGCUUAUGCCGGAGAUUUAGAAAAGGUCAGGAAUUAUCUUGUCAAAGGUGCAGAUAUUAACGAUGUA